ACACGCAUGACACACUGCAUAUCAAUAAGCGGAGGAAAAGAAACUAACAAGGAUUCCCUUAGUAACGGCGAGUGAAGCGGGAAGAGCUCAAAUUUGAAAUCUUCAAGGUUUUACCUUGACGAAUUGUAGUUUAAAGAAGUGUUUUCUGUUGGAGUUUUGGUAAAAGUUCUUUGGAAUAGGACAUCAUAGAGGGUGAGAAUCCCGUAUUUGACCAUUAUUUCCAGCUGUGUGAUACACUUUCAAAGAGUCGGAUUGUUUGGGAAUGCAGUCCAAAAUGGGUGGUAAAUUUCAUCUAAAGCUAAAUAUUGGCGAGAGACCGAUAGCGAACAAGUACCGUGAGGGAAAGAUGAAAAGAACUUUGAAAAGAGAGUUAAACAGUACGUGAAAUUGUCAAAAGGGAAGCGUUUGACACCAGUGUUGUUUUCUCGAAAAUCAAUUAAAAAUGAUGGGAUUUUGUGUUGUAUUGACUUUAUCAGCUUUCUGCACUUUUUUCUUAUCUUUUUUAAUGCACUUUUCGUUUAACAAGUCAACAUCAAUUUCUUUUGUUGUAAAAGAGUCAUUGGAAGGUGGCUUUUUCUUCGGAAAAAGUGUUUAUAGCCUUUGGCUUCUGCAAUCGGAGAGAUUGAGGUCUGCAGCGUAGAUCCUUCGGGGUUAGAUACAUUUGUGCUAAGCUAUAGUUCUUUAUAGACAACUUGUUGACUAUAAUCAAUCCUGUAACUUACUCGCUUAUGCUAUUUUACCUACGCUUAGGAUGUUGAAGACUCUACAGAGAUA
RNAcentral lists this ribosomal RNA (774 nucleotides) under uncultured Neocallimastigales. RNAcentral's name for it is "partial large subunit ribosomal RNA". The stretch from base 2 to 693 matches the Rfam family "Eukaryotic large subunit ribosomal RNA", at positions 24 to 664 of the family's 3401-position model. Lineage: Eukaryota; Fungi; Neocallimastigomycota; Neocallimastigomycetes; Neocallimastigales. The record is from RNAcentral.